RNAcentral lists this long non-coding RNA (664 nucleotides) under Panax ginseng (ginseng). Its description in RNAcentral is "long non-coding RNA (PGIN_LNC012834)". The record is from RNAcentral. Lineage: Eukaryota; Viridiplantae; Streptophyta; Magnoliopsida; Apiales; Araliaceae.
ACCACAUGAGCCAGAGCAUAGAGUAUUAUUCCUCCCUCCCUCCCUCCCUCCCUCCCUCGUUCUUCUUCUCUUUUCUUUCCUUCGGACAAGUUUCUUUUGGUGCACCGUUUCAAUUUGAAAAAAGUGAACUAAAACCUCUACUGUAAAAUACACCCAUCUUCAAUAUUUACGUAAUCUGAUUCUCUCUCAAUCAUCCUAGGGUUUGUUCUCUCUCAUCUCUACUAUUACCACUUCAAGUACCUAUUUCUUUCUAUAUAUAUCCGUGCGGCUUGUGCGUGUGUAUAUAUAUAAACGCAGGAAUACAUAUAAUUAUAAAUCUUGCUCUUGAAAAUUUGACUUCUUUUUACUCUUGAUUUUUUCUUUUCUUUUUUCUUUCUGAUUCUUGUGUAUGGCAUUUGAGAAUGAGAGCAAUAGUCAAAGAAGAUCCAUCCCGAAUCAACAUUUUGUUGAUUUUCGAGCUGUGAAUCAUCCUCAUCCUCAUUUGACCUUCAUUUCUGGACCACAAAUCAAUGUGAGAAACCCUAGAUUAUUGCCUGUGCUACCGCCUCAUCUAAUUCCGGUCAAUCCAGUUCAGUUGGCUCGUAUUGAACUCGAGAGAUCACGAUCUCUGAUAAAGGUAUGUAAACUUUAUCACCUUUUUGUAAUUGAAUUUUAAUAAAGNNNN